RNAcentral lists this ribosomal RNA (253 nucleotides) under uncultured bacterium. Its description in RNAcentral is "partial 16S ribosomal RNA". It matches the Rfam family "Bacterial small subunit ribosomal RNA", at positions 524 to 776 of the family's 1533-position model. The record is from RNAcentral.
UACGAAGGGGGCUAGCGUUGCUCGGAAUCACUAGGCGUAAAGGGUGCGUAGGCGGGUCUUUAAGUCAGGGGUGAAAUCCUGGAGCUCAACUCCAGAACUGCCUUUGAUACUGAGGAUCUUGAGUCCGGGAGAGGUGAGUGGAACUGCGAGUGUAGAGGUGAAAUUCGUAGAUAUUCGCAAGAACACCAGUGGCGAAGGCGGCUCACUGGCCCGGUACUGACGCUGAGGCACGAAAGCGUGGGGAGCAAACAGG